RNAcentral lists this long non-coding RNA (3169 nucleotides) under Populus trichocarpa (black cottonwood). RNAcentral's name for it is "long non-coding RNA (PTRI_LNC004407)". Lineage: Eukaryota; Viridiplantae; Streptophyta; Magnoliopsida; Malpighiales; Salicaceae. The record is from RNAcentral.
UAAAGAUUACUAGUUCAAGUCUCAUAAACAUCAGGGUUUAUAUGAUCAUUAACUUUAGGGGUCGUGAAAUUAGUCGAAAUACACGUAAACUGACCCGAAUAACUAGCAUGCUGUGUUGCUUGGAAGAAUACUGGUGGAUCAUGACUUCCUGCGAUGAGAAAACUUAGUUAAAUAAUAUGCAAAAAUUACCAUCUUGGUGAUUUAAUAACCAGCAUGCUGUGUUGCUUGGAAGAAUCCAUGGCAAUGAAGAACAAAAUGGUAAGGAAAAGGAGGAUUUAUUUAUUAAUCCCUAAGCGAUCAGAAACGAAUAAAAAACUAAUAGCACAGAAGAAAGAAUGGCCCCAGAAAAUAUUUAAAAUAGAGGCGAAUGAAUCUUCUUCUUCUUCUUCUUCUUCUUCUUCUUCUUUUCUUUUGAAACAUUAGUCAGCAUUAGUCAAUCACGUUAACGCGUCAUGUAGCCAAAGCAAAAGAAUUCGAUGGGUUAUUGUAUUGUUGAGCAACUGUGGAUGAAAGGCACUCUCUUUUUGUAUUUUAUUAAAAGUGUUUUUUUAAAAAAAAUUAUUAUUUUUUAUUUUUUAAUGUACUAAUAUCAAAAAUAAAAUUUUAAAAUAAAUAAAAUAUUAUUUUGAUCAUUUCUAAAUAAAAAACCACUCUAAAAAAAUAACUAUUAUCAUAAUAUCAAACUUGUUUGGGUUGAUACCAAACAAGUCUAGGUUUCUGGUGUAGUUUUUUUUAGGGUAUGUUUCGAAGUGUGAUUGCGGUUGUUUUUUAAAGUGUUUCACUCGAAAAUGCAUCAAAAUAAUAUAUAUUUUUUAUUUUUUUUAAAUCAUUUUUGAUAUCAAAGCAUCAAAAUAAUAUGAGAACACCAAUAUUAAUUUGAAAAAAUUAAAAAAUUAAAAAAAUAUAAAUAUUUUUAAAACACAAAAAUAAACAUGAUCUUAUAAACAUGGCUAGGCAGGGUGCGUGAACAAGGGAUUUUCCCAGCUGGGAACGAGGGCUUCCUGUGAGCAUGCAUGUUGGGAACAAGUGUGUUUGAUAUUAUGGUAGCUUUUGUGGUUGUGAUUUUAAAAAAGUUGUUUUAUAAAAACACUUUUAGUUGAGGUUGGUUUGAUAUUUAUAUAUGUUUUGUUAAAACUGUGGUUAAAAUUGAGGUUGAACAAAAAAUAGUUUAAUGUGUUUGGUUUAGAAUGCUUUUUAAAUUGAGAUUAUAAAAUAACUAAUAUAUAUAUUGAUGGUUUUAAAUUUAAAUAUUGUAAAUUUAACUACUGUUAUUACAUCAUGAAAUAAAUAAUACUUUAUAUAAAAAAAAUUUAUUGUUCCAUUAAACUAUCUACAAUUCCAUUACAUACAAAAUUCAUCUGACAAGGACUACAGUUUCAUGUUUUUUUGAGCGUGCAACAAAAUCAGGUAAAAUAUCAUCAGGAAUAAAAUUAAGAUUACGAUCAAAUUCUGCAAAUGCUACACCAUCAUGCGAUCUCCUUCUAAUUUAUAUAAUGUCAUUGAAUAAUGUUAAGCACUAGUUUUUUUUAAAAAAAUUACUAUUCACGUGAAUAGUAUGAGUGAAUUUAAUUCACUUUGCACAGAAGAAGAAAAGCAGCUCGAAGCUGCUUUGAAUUUACCUGCAUUUUAAAUGCGAAAUGCACUGGGCCCCAUAAAUUAUAAACUACGUUUUUUACUUUACCUAACAAUUGUUUGUUGUGGUUUGCUUUAAAAACAGAAACAACCAUGUAAACAAACAGACUUUCGAGCUCUAAGAUUGAAAUUAUUAUUGUAAAUUGUAAUGAAAAAAAAUAUUUUAAUGUAUUCUUAAACAACUAAUUUGUUCUAAAAAUAACAUACUAAACUAUUUACAUAUUAACAAGACCCACCUAACUAAUUAAAAAAUAAAAAAUAAAAAAUAAAAUUGAAAAACAACUUCUAGAUUUAAUCUGCACAGUAACCUGAACUUUCGUCGGGUUUUUUAAAUUUCAUUAUAACCUAACUAUGGAUUAAAAAUUAUAUUUAUUCUUGUAGCACGAACACAUUUUAAUAUAUUCCAGGAACAAGCUGUUGAAUAUUCCAUGUCAAUCGGUGCCUGUUACAUGUGAAGUAUGAACCCAGUUGUAGUUGAAACUUUGAAAACAGGGAGGUAAUUAUAUAAUUUAGAAUGGCUGUGGAAAUGCACAAAGUAAUCCAGAGUAAUUUAUAAGAAUCAUAAUUGUUUUUUAAAAUAUUUUUUUAUCAGAAAUGUAUUAAAAUAAUAUUUUUUUAAAAUUAUUUUUAAGAUUAACACAUCAAAAUAAUAUAAAAACACCAAAAAAAUAUUAAUUUAAAAUAAUAAAAAAAAAUUCAAAUUUUUUCAAAAACGCUUUUGAAAUACAAAAACAAACAGGGCCAAAAUUUUUUCAGGCAGACUACAUUGUUGGUUUUGUCUUAAAUUGCUAACACUUUGUUGGUUUAUGUUAUGAUGUUUUGCUUGUAAUAUUUUUUACUCUGACGUGAGUGAAUAUUCAAUUACAUAUACUUCCAACUUUGACAAAAAAUAAAAUAAAAAUAAAUAGUAUUUCUGACUCUGGCGUCAAUGAAUAAACCAGUAAAAUAAUUGUAAAUCAAUGCAUGCAUAUUUUUUAUUUUUCUCCAAAAAAAAAUAAUUUUUUAGGAUGUUCUGACUCGACUGAUCACUAGCCCAAGCUACUGACCCGGCUGGGCAACAAGAACGUUAACUAAAUCACGCGCGCGUGCAUGAGCGGAUAAAGGAAUUAAGUUAGAAUGUACAUGGGAAGCGAAUUAAAAUUCAAAGUAAACAGUAACCAGUGAAUUAAAAUGAAAAGCGGGGAAAGAGAAGUUGACUUACCUGGUAGCUCUGAAGAUGAAAACGUGAUGGAAGAUUCGUCGGCUAAGCUCCUUUCUCUUUCCUUCUCCUUUGUUCUUGCUUUUCUCUGAUUGGUUUCUUCCUGUCCUUCCCCUGUUCUGUGGGUGUUUCGUUCUCCUGUGGCCUUCUGUUUUUUAUUGUCUUCUCUGUAUAUUCUCUCUGUCUAUCUUUUUCCUCCUCCCUGUUCUCUUCUUUUCUUCUCCCCCCUGUGUUUUUUUGUUUCCGUUCGUGCUCUCCCUCCUUUUCUUUUCUCCCCUUUUCUGCGUCUUUCUCUGGCCUUUUAUAAGGCCAGAGAGUGUCAGUGAUCGUUAACCAGGG